AGUGAACGCUGGCGAUAGGCCUAACACAUGCAAGUCGAACGGCAGCACAGUAAGAGCUUGCUCUUACGGGUGGCGAGUGGCGGACGGGUGAGGAAUACAUCGGAAUCUACUUUUUCGUGGGGGAUAACGUAGGGAAACUUACGCUAAUACCGCAUACGACCUACGGGUGAAAGCAGGGGAUCUUCGGACCUUGCGCGAUUGAAUGAGCCGAUGUCGGAUUAGCUAGUUGGCGGGGUAAAGGCCCACCAAGGCGACGAUCCGUAGCUGGUCUGAGAGGAUGAUCAGCCACACUGGAACUGAGACACGGUCCAGACUCCUACGGGAGGCAGCAGUGGGGAAUAUUGGAGAAUGGGCGCAAGCCUGAUCCAGCCAUACCGCGUGGGUGAAGAAGGCCUUCGGGUUGUAAAGCCCUUUUGUUGGGAAAGAAAAGCAGCAGGUUAAUACCCCGCUGUUCUGACGGUACCCAAAGAAUAAGCACCGGCUAACUUCGUG
Molecule: ribosomal RNA, 492 nt
Filed under: uncultured bacterium
Lineage: Bacteria
Description: partial 16S ribosomal RNA
Rfam family: Bacterial small subunit ribosomal RNA
Source: RNAcentral